Molecule: ribosomal RNA, 430 nt
Filed under: uncultured bacterium
Lineage: Bacteria
Description: bacterial SSU rRNA
Rfam family: Bacterial small subunit ribosomal RNA
Source: RNAcentral
UGGGGAAUAUUGGACAAUGGGCGAAAGCCUGAUCCAGCAAUGCCGCGUGUGUGAAGAAGGCCUUCGGGUUGUAAAGCACUUUCGAUGAGGAAGAAAGACUCAAGGUUAAUAACCUUGAGAGUUGACGUUACUCAUAGAAGAAGCACUGGCUAACUCUGUGCCAGCAGCCGCGGUAAUACAGAGAGUGCAAGCGUUAACCGGAAUUACUGGGCGUAAAGCGCGCGUAGGUGGAUAUUUAAGUCGGAUGUGAAAGCCCUGGGCUUAACCUAGGAAUUGCAUUCGAUACUGAAUUGUCUCGAGCAUGGUAGAGGGAAGUGGAAUUUCCGGUGUAGCGGUGAAAUGCGUAGAUAUCGGAAAGAACACCAGUGGCGAAGGCGGCUUCCUGGACCAAUACUGACACUGAAGCGCGAAAGCGUGGGGAGCAAACAGG